CGUAGGGUGCAAGCGUUGUCCGGAAUUAUUGGGCGUAAAGAGCUCGUAGGCGGUCUGUCACGUCGGAAGUGAAACUCGGGGCUCAACCCCGAGCCUGCUUUCGAUACGGGCAGACUUGAGGAAUGUAGGGGAGAACGGAAUUCCUGGUGGAGCGGUGGGAUGCGCAGAUAUCAGGAGGAACACCAGUGGCGAAGGCGGUUCUCUGGACAUUAACUGACGCUGAGGAGCGAAAGCGUGGGGAGCAAACAGGCUU
Molecule: ribosomal RNA, 253 nt
Filed under: uncultured bacterium
Lineage: Bacteria
Description: partial 16S ribosomal RNA
Rfam family: Bacterial small subunit ribosomal RNA
Source: RNAcentral